Molecule: ribosomal RNA, 253 nt
Filed under: uncultured bacterium
Lineage: Bacteria
Description: partial 16S ribosomal RNA
Rfam family: Bacterial small subunit ribosomal RNA
Source: RNAcentral
UACGUAGGGUGCGAGCGUUAAUCGGAAUUACUGGGCGUAAAGCGUGCGUAGGCGGUUGGCAAAGUCAGCUGUGAAAGCCCCGGGCUUAACCUGGGAAUGGCGGUUGAAACUAGGCGACUUGAAUCUGGCAGAGGGGGGUGGAAUUCCACGUGUAGCAGUGAAAUGCGUAGAGAUGUGGAGGAACACCGAUGGCGAAGGCAGCCCCCUGGGCUGAGAUUGACGCUCAGGCACGAAAGCGUGGGGAGCAAACAGG